AUCAUUCGUCGAAAUCUUCAUAUCUAUGUCUGUUUGUUACCGUCCAGUUCAUUUUAUAUUCGUCUGAAGUAGUAGUGUUGGAGUAGUUCUUGUUGACACCAUGUUAGUCUUGCUCCGUUGAAAUAUAAAAAAAUGAAAACACAAGUAUUUUAGAUAAUUCUUUUGUGCGAAUUAAAUUUAGUUCCUGAACGGUUUUUUUUUACAAAUCAAUGAUAUCUUAUUCCAACUAAAGUAAACAUGAUUGCUAUGUCUUAUUGUUCAAAAUCUUAGAAAAUGUUG
RNAcentral lists this long non-coding RNA (279 nucleotides) under Mytilus galloprovincialis (Mediterranean mussel). Lineage: Eukaryota; Metazoa; Mollusca; Bivalvia; Mytilida; Mytilidae. The record is from RNAcentral.